This is a non-coding RNA of Oryctolagus cuniculus (rabbit), 5860 nucleotides long. The record is from RefSeq and is a predicted model, not a curated record. NCBI's taxonomy places the organism in Eukaryota, Metazoa, Chordata, Mammalia, Lagomorpha, Leporidae.
CAGUACCGAAGCUGGGCGCCAGGACUCGAGCGGCGAGUUAGAAUUUCAGCUCCACUACGUUAGGGGGCGCUGCGGGGCCGCGUGCGCAGGUUCGGCCCCGAGACAGCACUGCCUCGGGCUGCCCCCUCCGAGGCCGCAGUCGCGCUUCUGCGGGUGCAGAGCCGGUGGCGGCCGCUUCCCGGGGCGCUGUGUGGUCCUGUGUCUACCGCACCUACCCGUGCCGCUGUCGGCCCUCGCCAUCAGUCCUAACGCCCCGGGGGAGUCACCGCAGGACCAUCUCUGGACGUCUUCUCUGAGCGGACCCCCGCUAAUGCUGCUGCUCUCCCGUCGGGGGACUCCGAGGCCCCGAGCGGGGCGGGAGAACCGGUCCGAGCUCAGCGCCCAGACAGGGCUCCGGCCUCUGCGCCCGGCUAGACCUCUUGCGAUUUGUGCGUCCUCGGGAGAGAGCCGGCGCAGGAAGGCUUUGCCCGCGUCCCGGAUCCCUACCUCCGAUCCCGGCAUCCGAGACUCGGAAAGACAGGCGACGGUUGUCUGGAGAGCAGGUGAUGUCCCGCACGGCUUUAGGACGGCCCACUCGUUUUCCCUUCCGCAACCUUUAAAAGCGGGCGUGGAAAGCUGCCUUUUACACACCGGUUGGCAGAAGUUUCGACUAGAGACGCUCCCGGGGUCCCGGAGGAGCGGUGUGGACUCGCGUCCGGUCCUUGCGCUGAAGCCCCGCCCGGUACUUGCGGUCUGCGGUUAGUUGCUCCUGCCGCAGCUGCAGACUCACUCUCCCACGGCUUUGCUGGUUCUGCACCAGGCAGGGCCCCUUCGCCCCUGCAGAGUCCGCACGCGCACUCCCUGAUGGGCUCCGGCUGUCCAGGGCCAAGGAUGACCCAGGACUGGACCAAGCUGAAGCCAGGAGCUGGGCACCCAAUCCAGUUCUCCCACGUGGGUGGCAGGACCCCAACUACUAGAGCCGUCACCUGCUGCUUGCCAGGAUGCACCUUCAGGGGAAGCUGGACCAGAACCGGGCACUCUGAUGUGAUCCUUAGCCACUGGGGUCCCAAGGCGUGAUGCCGUCUCAGAAGUGCAUUGGCAGAGAGGAGAGCACUAGUCCUCCUUCAUGGACAUCCUCGUUUCAGCCCCUGGCAGGUGUUCGGUGGUCAGCAGCUGCAGAGCAGAAGAAAAACAGGAGAGGAGAAAAGGGCUGUCUUCCUUGGCUUCAGUGUCUGGACCGCGCGAAAGGAGUCUUUGUAGGAAUAGAAGCGGCUCUUGGGUCCUUGUGCUCGUUUGGCUGACCGUUUGGGCUUCUGCCAUUGGCCUCUUUUCUCAGCAGCCCUCUGUCCUUUUCUGCCCCUGCAUUCGUGAGUCCACUGUAUGCAGAGGCAUCAUGGGAGUUGAAAUGUCAGGAACAUUCUAGACCCCAGUCUCCUUGAGCUCUCUGAUGUGGCCUGGGAAAGCAAUAGAAGAUGGCCCAAGUCCUUGGGCCCCUGCACCCAUGUGGGAGACCCAGAAGAAGCUCCUGGCUCCUGGCUUCGGAUCGGCGCAGCUCCAGCCACUGGGGAGUGAACCAGUGGAUGGAAGACUUCUCUCUCUCGCUCUGCCUCUCCUUCUCUCUCUGUGUAACUCUGACUUUCAAAUAAAUUUUUAAAAACACUAAAAAAAAAAAAAGUGGCACCAGGAGGGGCUGGCGCUGUGGCACAGUAGGUUACUCCUCUGCCUGUAGUGCCAGCAUCCCAUAUGGGUGCUGGUUCUAGUCCUGGCUGCUCUGUUUCCCAUCCAGCUCUCUGCUAUGGCCUGGGAUAGCAGUGGAAGAUGGUCCAAGUGCUUGGGCCCCUGCACCCACGUGGGAGACCCAGAGGAAGCUCCUGGCUUCAGAUCAGCUCAGCUCUGGCCAUUGCAUCCAUUUGGGGAGUGAACCAGUGGCUGGAAGGCAUCUCUCUCUCUCUCUCUCUCUCCCUCUCUCCCUCUCUCCCUCUGCCUCUCUGUCUUUCAAAUAAAAAAAAACAGAUAUGAUAUUGGAGUCCAAGUACUGGUAGUGAUCUGCUCUAUGGCCUCAUAUUCUGGGGCUGGACUUGGAUCUGGAGAUUGUGGGAGAAAUUCCCAAGGGAUAGAGACACUGGCUCUCCCAGGAUAAUGGCCCUGGUGGCUCCCGGGGGCGUCCUUGUGGAGUCAUCCCAGGUCCCCUGAGCUUGUGGAAAGCUGAGAGGGGUCUCAUGGAGGUGGCCUAGUACCCAGGCUGAGCUUCAGGAAGAGCUGUGACGUUGUCUGCAUGGGGUGCAACAGAUGAAGGCAUCCGUUAAGUGUCCCAGCUGCUCUGCUUCCGAUCCGGGUUCCUGCUGAUGCACCUGGGAAAAGCAGUAGGGGAUGGCCCAAGUAUUUGGGCCCCUGCCACACCGUGGGAGACCUGGAUGAAGCUCCACUCCUGGCUUUGGGUGGCUCUGCACUGGGCGUUUCGGCCAUCUGGCGAGUGAACCAGCGGAUGGAAGCUCGAGCUCUCUCGCUCCCCUCCCCCUUCCCUCCCCCUUCCCUCCCCCUUCCCUCCCCCUUCCUCUCCCUCUCCCCCUCUCCCUCUCUUUGUAACUCUGACUUUCAAAAUAAAUAAAUCUUUAAAAAAACAAAAAACAAAAAGAAGUGAUACCCUUACUGCUGCACCACAAUGCUGGCCCCAACAAAGAUUCUUAAUCUACUGAAAAGAAUAUAUUUUUAAAGCACACUUGGAGUAUUUACUAAUAAUGCUUGCAUAUUUACAAAUAUUACUUGUGGCAUAACAUGCUAACUUCUAUGGCUGCAAAGCAAGUCUCAAAUACCAAUAUGUCAGUAUCAUCCAGACUACAAUAUAUGGCCUAACUUAAAGUCCAGAGAAAAACAAAACAAGCUUUAGAAAAUUCUAGACCUGAGUGGUAAUGAAAACACUAAAUAUGAAGGUGUGUGGGAGGUGUAGGCUCCAGUGAUCUCUCACUGGGAGAGAAUUUCCCAUUGGCAAGGAAGUAAAUGGCUCAUCACCCAGCUGCAGAUGGGAGCCGAGAGGGCCCCCCAGGGCUCUGAAAGCAGCUCUUGCAGAUUUUUGCAGCACCCUGAGGGAAUCAGGGCCCCAGUAACCGCUGGGACCAUAACGGAGGGGCCAGAAUAGAAUAUAUUUGACUCUACAAGGAAAAGGAAGCAGUUCAUUCCCUGUCCUAGCUUUGUAAAAUAAGUCGCCCUUCCUUUGAGGUGCUGGAGGAAACCAGGCUUAAUGAUACAUUUGAUUUAGAUCUGGUAGAGACAACACUAGUUUGUGUGGGGCAGGAGUUUUGUGAUUUUUUUUCAAAGAUUUAUUUUAUUUAUUUAAAAGAGUUACAGAGAGAGAUAGAGACAGAAAAGAGGUCUUCCAUCCACUGGUUCACUCCCCAAAUGGCUGCAAUGGCCGGAACUAAGCCAAUCUGAAGCCAGGAGCCAGGAGCUUCUCCUGGGUCUCCCAUGUGGGUGCAGAGGCCCAAGGACUUAGGCCAUCCUCCGCUGCUUUCCGAGGUGCAUUAUCAGGAAGCUGGAUCGGAAGUAGAGCAGCCCAGACAUGAACUGGUGCCCAUGUAGGAUGCCGGUGCCACAAGCCGGGCCCACAGCGCCGGCCCCAGUUGUUUUGUAAUUUGAAAAGAAUGCUGGGGCCGGCACUGUGGCACAGCGGGUUAAUGCCCUGGCCUGAAGCACCAGCAUCCCAUAUGGGCACCGGUUCAAAACCCGGCUGCUCCACUUCUGAUCCAGCUCUCUGCUAUGGCCUGGGAAAGCAGUAGAAGAUGGCCGAAGUCCUUGGGCCUUUGCGCCCACAUGGGAGACCUAGAAGAAGCUCCUGGCUUCGGAUAGGUGCAGCUCCAGCAGCUGUGGCCAACUGAGGAGUGGACCUUCGGAUGGAAGACCUCUCUCUCUCUCUCUGCCUCUCCUCUCUCUGUGUAACUCUUUCAAAUAAAAAUAAAAAAGAAUGCUGCCAUUUCCAAAUAGAAAAGAUAGCUUUUUUAUAGUGAAACAAGUCCCACAGAAAUAUAAUUUUGACCUCACCCUACAGCCAAAAUUUUUUUAAACAUUUAUUUAUUUAUUUAUUUGAAAAGCAGAGUUACAGAGAUAGAGAGAGAGAAGUCUUCCAUUCACUGGUUCACUCCCCAAAUGGCCAUAAUGGCUGGAGCUGAGCCAGUCUGAAGUCAGGAGCCGGGAGCUUCCUCUGGAUCUCCAAAAUGAGCACAGGUGCCCAAGCACCUGGGCCAUCCACUGCUUUCCCAGGCCACAGCAGGGAGCUAGAUUGGGAGCAGGGUAGCUGGGACUUGAACCGUUGCCCACAUGGGAUGCUGGGCGCUGCAGGCGAAGGCUUAGCCCACUGUGCCACAGCGCCAGCCCCACCAGCCAAGUAUUGCAGUAGCUGAAGUGUGUUUGCUCUGGUAUCAUAGGCGAUGCCUCCCUCCCUCUUCAGUAGCCUCCAUGUUCCUGUGAACACCUCUGUGCUCGUAACAGUCCCUGUGUGGAUUGUGCUGUUAGGUUUAAGUCUUGUGCCUGAUGUGAGUCAGUGUGACAGACAACAGUUUCACAAGCCAGUGCUUUUGAUUUUUCCUGAGAUGCAUUAGGGAGACCAAUCAGCAGGGGUUAGGAUGGAAUUCUUUGAACUCUCUGAAUGGGCUCGCCAUGGUACGCUCUUCUCCAGAGGACAGGUUAGGAAAAACUAUUUUUUUAAUUUAUUUUUUUCCAGAAACCUAUUAUUUAAGGAAUAUAAACUUCAUGCAUUUCAUAAGUGCAACUUUAGGAACACUGAUUCUUCUCUCUCUACCUGCCCUCCCACCCUUCUUCUCCCUCCCUCUCCUAUUCCCAUUCUUAUUUUUUACUAAGAUAUGUUUUCAAUUAACUUUAUAUACAUUUGAUUAACCCUAGAUUAAGUAAAGAGUUCAACAAAUAGUAUGAAAAAAACCAAACUGUUCCUCAACAGUCGAGACAAGUACUGCAAAACUAUUCUUUUUAGGUCAAGUGUUUUCUGUGGCACUGGCUCAGCCAAGUAUCCAGCACCUCAACUUUUCUCAACACAGGCUGUGAUAUGAACGGGAUUGCCGUGAGCGUGCAGUGCCCCGGGAAGAUGGGUGGAGAUGCGUUUGGGUUAAGCUCAGCCCACGUUUCUCACAUCUGCAGGAAACUAGAGUGAGGAUGACAUCAGAAGUCCACAUGUGGAGAGACAGGGACGCAGGACGUGGAGUCCUGGAGUCCAAUCCCUGGCGUUGUCUUGCAGGUUCACCUUGACCUUUGCCCUCCCACUCAUUUGAUUACAUAAACUUUUCAAUUUUUCUUUCUGUCUCCUUCUUAUUAGCAUCAAUUUGGUUUCUGGUACCAAUACCUUCUGGCUAAAAGCCCCAGUCUUUUCCUUAACUUGCCCCAAAUGGCCGAUUACUAAGAAACUGCGAAUUUGGCUGUUGCACAAGGCACUGUGGGCAUUUUGCUUAUCUGGGGUGACUUUCCUGUUUGUGACACUGGCCAACCUAGUUAGUAACUGGGGCAACAUACUGAACUCUCACAAUACGCUGGGGUAAGCUGCCCACAGCAUUCGGACCAGAGCCCAUCCUCAGUCGUGGCUUGUCCGAUGUGGUGGGCACCCUGCCUCUGAGCAGAAGCAUGUAUGUGAACCGGGCCUUUCAUACGUGCAGACGUCAGGGGUUCUGGAAUCCUAGUGCUCUCUGGGGGUGUUCCAGCAUUGUGGGUGUUCUGGCAUUUUGGGUGUCAUGGAUGUUUGGGUAUUCAGGUAUUCUGGGGCAUGAGUGUAGCCUUGUGAGGACCCAGCUUGGCAAUCCGGACUGCCUGGAAAGCGGUGCUAUCAAGAGUGGAGGGGGUGGGAAGAAGAGGUAUGGGGGGAAGAACUGCUAUAUUCCAAAAG